GUGAUGGGGCACGCCCUCGGGAAGACAGAGGCCUUCUUUCAGAUUGCUCUGUCCAUUAAGGGUAGUCAUCAGCCAUCAGUCAUCAUUCAUCAGGGAAUGAAAUGUGGCUAGUCCAAACAGGGAUGGCUAAAGGCCUAAAAUCCACAACUGGGUUUUGAACACUUAGUGCAAAACAAGCAUGUAAAUAUCUCCUUAAUGGGUAUAGUAAAUACGGAAAUAUUUUGGCUAUAUUAGAUUAAGUUGUCACCUACUCCUUUUUUAAACAUGGUUAUUAAAUAAUUUAAAAUUACCUAUGUGCCCGUUACAGGCUUUCAUCUGACAGCAUUAUUUUGUGGUUUUUAGCGCAGUAGUGGUUUUGUUAAUUUACGUGCCCUUCAAUGUCCUACCUUUCAGCUGUGAUCCCUGGGCAGCAGAAUCAACAUCACUUGAAGUACGAAAGUGGCACCACACCUGCUCCACCGACCCUAGAUCCCCCGGGUCAGACUCUGCAGUUUAGAUUCCCAGGUAUAUUUUCAAGAAAGGAUGACCCCAUCACUGACACCUGGGAACUUGUGAGCAGUGCAAGUGCUGGGGCCCAGCAAUGUCCUGAUGAGCUCUCUUGUGAUCCUCACGUCAGAAGUCUGAGAACCACUGAAUUAGGUGCUGAAGGCACAGACAAGGGCUGAGCCACACUGCAUCACAGUCUGGUCAGGAGGGUGACACCGACCUGCAUGGACACAGGCAUCACAGAGAAACUCUUCCAAGAUGUGCUAUGGAAGCCCUCAUUUUACAAGUGAGGAAACAAGGCUGAGAGAGACUGAACACCGUGUCUGAGACCAGAGCAGGACAAGCACAUGCCAGAGCACGAGCCACGGUGGAGCCCACCAGCCCUCUCCACUGCUACAGAGGUCGCCCUCCGUACCCCUGUCCAGGCCUCCCCACCCCUCCAUCCCCGUUCUGAUGGGGCACGGUAACAAACCCAAUACAAUGUGCUGCUACUUCAUAAUCCAUACAAAGCAUUCAUUCUGUAGUCAAUGGUGGGAUUACCCAUGUUUCCUGCCUUGACAGCAUCAGCUAGGGAUGCAUCUAUCUCUGAAGGAACGGAACUACGUUUUUGGAAACUUACACUAUCUGUAGGUUUCUUGCCACUAAACUUCUAUUUAAAUUAAAUGAAGACUAAAAAUUCACUAUGGAGAGGAAUAAAGUCUCUUGUUCCAUA
This is a long non-coding RNA of Herpailurus yagouaroundi (jaguarundi), 1198 nucleotides long. RefSeq lists it as uncharacterized. Lineage: Eukaryota; Metazoa; Chordata; Mammalia; Carnivora; Felidae. The transcript has 3 exons. The record is from RefSeq and is a predicted model, not a curated record.